UGGGUUUGGCUGCAAAUAGCAUUUCCUGACCUUGGCACUCUAAAGUUCAAGAGUUUGCUGUUCUGUGUGUGGAAGCCGAGCCGCUGGCAGUGUGGAUUAGACUGGGGGGGCUUCCAGUCUGAUGAUAUUUAAAAUAAUAUUUAAAUAUUUAGUUAGCAGCUCCCUAUCCUGUCCUGCAAUUUUUUUCUAACACCUGCAACUGUAUCUCUUCCUGAAGGGGACUGAUGCUUACAUGUUCAUAGGUCUUCCCUUCAAACCACUGGAUCCUCCUUGUCCUUGAAGGUAGCAUGCCUCGUGGCUGCUACAGCAGUCACCUGCGGAACGUCAAGUUGUUGUUAAUAUCUUGUCAUCUUCAAAAUCAGCUUAUGCCUUUGGCUUUGCUUUGAAUUUCUUGAUAAAGCGAUGUCAGUUUCUGCCUUCCACCUGGAAGACUGAGCUUACAGAAUCUUCCUUCUUUCUGGAGCUGAAUCUGUCCUUUGGUCCCUGACAGUAGGAAAACCUUUUUAGAAGUCCUCGGUGUUGUUUUCUUCAACUGCUGGGUGAUUGAAUGGCUACAUUUUCCCUGCAUGUCUCAGAAAGGGCUUGUGGCAGCAUGCGGGCCUGGUGUGGCAUAGCAGCAGUGGCCCUCGACUAGUCAUCACAGCAUGAUGCUGUUCUCAGCACAUCAUGCUUUGCUGUUCUCUUUCUCAGUCUCUUUCAGGUGCUAUCUUGGACUGAAAAGAACUGCAGUGGCUGCAGCCAUAGCAGGUGGAGAGGUUUGGAGUGAGGAAACCCUCUCAGAAUCACGCUGAAGCAAAACUUCGGGUCUUGUGUCAGGGCAUGUGUGCAUGUUUCAAAGGGCUUUGUUUCCAAGAACAUUAGCUGCACAGCCUUUGAAAGGGUUUCAGUAUUGUCAUUUAAAUGUACUGCACAACCUCUUGUGCUUUCUAUAUUUUUAUUGGCAGUAAUUGUUAUUCUGUCCACACAGAAUGCACCACAGCACAGCACACCUGCUGCAGCUGGCAAGCAGAGCGGUACUGCCAAACUCCUGCCUAACUCACCACCAGCAAAACAUUUAUGCUUCUCUAAGUACUAUGAAUAAGCCUGCAGAACAGUAUCAUGUUGUCAUAAACAGAUAAUAGAAAGUGGCUGAAAUGAAUAAUAGUAAUCCAGGUCAAGAUUUUAAUAGGUAUAAUUUUGGUAAUUGACAACCCUGUUGAAUAGAUCUUAAUGUACGUGAAUUACAAAACAAUGUGAAAAGAAGGGGAGAAAUAAAACCCAGAAUGGAUAGAGACAGCAUGUAAUUGGUGUCUCUUGGCUUACUAUUUUUUUGUUUGAAAAAAGUCCAUCAUAAAUGUUCAGCAACUGUCCUGUCCAGCUAAUAAUGUUAUUAGCUUGUUGGCUAGUAAUAUUAUUCUUGUUUGGCUAAUUGUUGCUUUUCUUCUUGAUGUUGAUUAUUAGUUGACUAUCAGCAGCAUGUUUCUAGUUAAUUCCCUUUCUUGCCCAUGAUGACAGGAGGAAUUUCCAUGCCUAGAAGCUAUCAGUAAAAAAACCCAAAACAGCUAAAUACUAUUUUGAAGAAGGAAUAACAGGAGCCAGUCAUAUGUAUGUGCAGAAUUAAAUUUCAGGAACAGAACUUGUGGUAAGUUUAAGCACAUUUACAAAAUCAUAGAAUCAACCAGGUUGGAAAAGACCUUCAACAUCAUCAAGUCCAACCUUUACCCCAGCACUGCCAAGUCCACCACUAAACCAUGUCACUGAGGGCCUCAUCUACACAGUCUUUGAAGAUUUCCAGGGAUGGUGAUUCCACCAAUUCCCUGGGAAGUCUGUUCCAACACCUGACUAAAAUGCAGAUAUCAAUCUGGUUUUUUGAAAAUAAUAUGGAAAAUAAUAUGCAGUGGAUUGCUCUGGUUUUAAUAUUUAUGUUCUGUAGUACAAAAAGGAGGAAAAAGACAGGAGGAAAGAUGAGCUUCAGCUGUAUUAAUCUGUAUCAAGCUAAAAAUACGCAUGUAGAGGAAAAAUAGCAUUAUUGAUUUUAUAUUUUA
Molecule: long non-coding RNA, 2024 nt
Organism: Strigops habroptila (Kakapo)
Lineage: Eukaryota; Metazoa; Chordata; Aves; Psittaciformes; Psittacidae
Source: Ensembl